Long non-coding RNA from Felis catus (domestic cat), 1467 nucleotides. RefSeq lists it as uncharacterized. The record is from RefSeq and is a predicted model, not a curated record. The transcript has 4 exons. NCBI's taxonomy places the organism in Eukaryota, Metazoa, Chordata, Mammalia, Carnivora, Felidae.
CGAGGCAGGUGAAGCGCAGGGCGGGGAGUGGGAUUACACUGUCGGAGGCAUCCGACAAAAUCCGGUGGAGAUUCGGCCAACUUCUCCAUCCUGCAGUCGGGCAGGGGGCUGACGGACCAGUGCAGCCGAGGAAACAGCAGGCCCCUGACCGGCUACUGUGACAACUUAAGGAGAUGAGGUGUUAGUGGCUGAUCAUAACAGCAUGUGUUGUCCCCAUCGGGCGACAUUUACAUUUGAUUGUGGCCUUGAAUGCCGGCAGUAGUAAUCCUAGAGAGGCCCUUUGCACUUGCUGGUACUACUUCCUGGUAUGCUCUUCAUCCCGAUCAUUGCUUGUCAUGUGCCCUCAUUUUAUUCAGGGUACACGUGUGUGUGAAACGCUGAUGAAUACUUUGCUCUUUGGAACCAACCGGGUGUACCUUCAAUGUCCAGUCUUUUAAAGAGGGGAGUUUGGAUUUUAGAGCACUGACUGUUAAUUUACGUGACAGUGACAUCUAGUGGAUCACUAAUGACAGUCGGAGCUAAAAGCUCUAAAGAUCAAAGGAGGGCCAAACAAACAUCAGCCACGAACAGCAAAACUCCACCCUGAUUCCUGGAUAGAUGCUCUAGUGAGGUCUGGAGAAUCCAGUGAGAUUUCUGUUGAUGAUGUGGCCAUUGAUGGGUUAAGGAUAUCUGAAGAUUUAGGUUUCACUAUGCAUGUUGGGGAUGGAGCAUAGAGGACAAGCCUAAAUAUGAAAAAAUGAGAGAAUUUGUUGUGUGGGAUAGCUUAAGCUGCUACAAGUUCAUUUUUCAAGAGGUUGGUUUAUCACUCAAAAUCGAGGGGCGCCUGGGUGGCUCAGUCGGUUAAACGCCCGACCUCAGCACAGGUCAUGAUCUCAUAGUCCGUGGGUUCAAGCUGUGCUGACAGCUCAGAGCCUGGAGCCUGCUUCAGAUUCUGUGUCUCCCUCUCUCCCUCUGUACCUCCCUCUGCUCACGCUCUGUCUCUCCCUCAAAAAUACACAUUUAAAAAAAAAUUUUUUUAAGGUGAUAGGAACAUGAAAUUAGUGCAUGCUGUCACCAAGUGGUGGUACUAAUUCGGAAGAAAAGUAAAAUUUUGGUCAUUAGGUGGGCUCAGCUGGAAGAAAUUAGCAAAUUUUGCUCUUGAUCUGAAAUCAAGAGUCAGAUGCUUAACCCAGGUGCCCCUAACAGCAAGCUUUAAAAUAUAAGAUUAAGGAAUAGUUUAAUAAUUAUUAUAAGUUUGGACAAUUUAUAUCACAAUGAAGAAUGUGCAAGUCAUGUUCUCAUGUUAUGUUCUCACUUCCACAUGAGCAAAGCAUGUUAUCAGACUUUUUGUUCCUGUUAAUCAAAAAUUUUAGGGGCGCCUGGGUGGCGCAGUCGGUUAAGCGUCCGACUUCAGCCCGGUCACGACCUCGCGGUCCGGCAGUUCGAGCCCCGCGUCGGGCUCUGGGCUGAUGGCUCGGAGCCUGGAGC